UUGUUUGCCUGGUGAGUGUGAGUAUGGAGCAAUUGCUGGGGGGUCUCUGUAUGUUCUGCCACUGCCUGGGGCAUCUGUUGUAGCGGGUUGGUGUCUGUGCAAUUGAAGCACUGCUGGGUGAGGGGAUUGGGUUCAGCCAAGUAGCACUGUGUUUCUGGUGCCGCACAGACGUUUGGUGAUGGGACUGUUCUAUCUGUGCUGGGUAAGUCUUGGGGGUGACUGGGCAAGUACAUGGGGAGGGGUGGCAAUUAUUUAUAAAACCCAUUAUAGUGAUGGGGUUGGUGCCCGGCCCAGAGUGAUGGGGUUGGUGCCCGGCUCAGAGUGAUGGGGUUGGUGCCCGGCCCAGAGUAUGGGGUUGGUGCCUGGCCCAGAGUAUGGGGUUGGUGCCCGGCCCAGAGUAUGGGGUUGGUGCCCGGCCCAGAGUGAUGGGGUUGGUGCCCGGCUCAGAGUAUGGGGUUGGUGCCCGGCCCAGAGUGAUGGGGUUGGUGCCCGGCUCAGAGUGAUGGGGUUGGUGCCCGGCCCAGAGUAUGGGGUUGGGUUGGUGCCCGGCCCAGAGUAUGGGGUUGGGUUGGUGCCCGGCCCAGAGUACAGGGUGGGGUUGGUGCCCGGCCCAGAGUACGGGGGGAUUAUGUGCAGACGUGAGUCGGUGUGUUCCUACAACGCUCAGUACUUCGGGGAGGGCACGCUGCUCCAUGUGAUGGAAAAAGGCCAGGAGCGGCUGGAGCCCAAAGUGUCGAUCUUCCGGCCGGACCCCCAGGAGCUGUCGGCCCAUGGCUACCUGUCCCUGGUGUGCGUGGCCAGUGGCUUCUUCCCAGAACACGUGGAGCUGAGUUGGUUGGUGAAUGGGAACCCGCGGGAGGGGAGCCGGGGCAAAGCCUGGAGAGUGGGGGAGACCUACUCAAUGAGUAGCCGCCUCAGCCUCACCAAGGAGCAGUAUUACAAUACGGAGAACUCGUUCCAAUGUUCCGCCGGGUUCCGAGGGGAAAGCAAAGUGGCGACCGACUCCGUCAGCGGAGAGAAAGAUUGCGGAGUUUCCCCCGAUGAGUUGAAGCGGUUGGUGAAUAACGGGGUUCUCUCCUAUAUCCUCAUCCUGUGCAAGAGCGCCCUCUAUGGGCUCAUCGUCACCGCUGUCAUCUGGCGGAAAAAGGCAAGUGCAAGCUCCUAUUAGAAGGUGCAGGAGAGACAGAGAUUUGGCUUCCUGCGAGAGAUGUGACCGCCCAGCAAGUGACCAGAGAGAGUUUGGCCCCAGGAUGGGGGAACAGAGGGGCCCCAGGGUGGGGGGAUCAUGGGGGGCCCCAGGA
Xenopus tropicalis (tropical clawed frog) is the source of this 1301-nucleotide non-coding RNA. Lineage: Eukaryota; Metazoa; Chordata; Amphibia; Anura; Pipidae. The record is from the annotation of a RefSeq genome assembly.